Long non-coding RNA from Canis lupus familiaris (dog), 2136 nucleotides. RefSeq lists it as uncharacterized. The record is from RefSeq and is a predicted model, not a curated record. The transcript is spliced from 4 exons. NCBI's taxonomy places the organism in Eukaryota, Metazoa, Chordata, Mammalia, Carnivora, Canidae.
UACCCAGGGAAUGGUGGUCUUCCCACUCCAUGCCUCCCAUGUGACGUCACAAUGGGAAUGUGGGGUACCAUGUGUCACCCUGUUGGCAUCUCUCCUCCUUCCUAGCCCGCUGCUGGUGACGGCAGACACCCUCCUGUACACCUGUGACCCCCUCAUGUUCCAUACUAGCCUACAGGGAGAAUGACUCCCAGGGCACUUGCUCCUGAUUUGUUUUAGAUUUCUCUAUGAGGCUGAAGCACCUGGAGGGAAGGCGGCCCAUCCUCAACAUGUCUUUGCAGAUGGCACAGCACAAAUUUGGCACAGGCCUCAGCCCUGGAUACGUGUGUGUCAGAACUGCCAGUCUACAAAAGCCAAGACCUGCAGAGAAGGAAGCAGACAAGAAGGAGAAAUGGCCAGACAGACAGGAGGAGCACAGCACUCAGGGUACCCAUCCCCGCAGCAAUGGAUGCUCCCCUGUGCCCUCCUGGUGGCCAUGAGAGGUGCCUGUGUUUACUGGAAAGCAGAGUUUCCAAAGGUUACCCAGCCUACCAUGAGCACGAACACUCCCAGAAACUCUGCCAGGCACUGUCGGACCAGGUGGCUGCGGAUCUGGAGCCUGCUCUUGACUUUGGCCAGGGGGUGGCUGUAGGCCAUGGUGAGGACACCCUGUCUCUGGCUGCUGCUCCCUCCGUCUGCAUAGGCACACGAGUAGUGCCUGCCAGAUAAGGAACAGACUUUAAAACCAAUUACCUCAGCUCUUGAACAGCAGUAUCUGUACACGUGUGUAGGCUAAGGACAUAGAGAUGAUGGGAGAAUGUCCAAGGACAAGCUUGGUGCACGACCAGAGCCUGGAGUUUGCCCGGGCUCUGUGUACUUUGUCUGCCAUUGUCAUUCUUCCUGUGCUGAUGGGCAGGAGGAAGUGUCCUGCAUCAAUGCAGGUGGCCUCGACCACCCUGGAAGGAAGCACCACUCCUCCCACUCUGCUCAUGAGGGACUGGAGACCCUCAGGACUCUCCAAGGCCACACAGCUACUUAAGGGCUAAGCCUGAAUUCAAAUCCAGAUCUUCUGACUCUCCAUCCCCUAUUGCACAAUGCUUUUCAUGUGGAAUGCGAAGUGUUUCUUCCAUUUGGAUGCUUACAAAGUUCCACAGUCAUCCAGAGAAGCUGGGCCAACGACCAGAAGCUGCAGAAAUGAAAUCCACUCGGUGAACACUUGCACUUCCCUCGUGCAGAGCUCACCUUGGUUAGAAAGUGCUACAGCUUUGUGUCCCCUGCCAUGGCUAAAGGAGCACUUUUUGCCCACAGGGAGCCCCACCCCCCCCUUCUCUGGAUGCUUGCCACCCUGAUUCUGCAUAACACAGAGCCACCACUUCCUACUUCUUAUCACAAGCCUCCAAUUAGCUUCAUUCAACUAUGAGUCAAAUUCCAGACCUGGGGAGCAGGGGAACCCAAUUUAAGAGUUGGUGUCAGGAGUGGUUCCACAAAAUCUAGAACGGAAUUUGGGCGAUCACUCACGGGCUGGUUGACAAGAACUCUAUCAUGGUAGUAGGUAGAAUAUGGAUCGUCUCUAGCUUGAAAUAAUGCAAUGAUUAAAACGGCCAGCAGUGGGCAGCUGGAAGCGGUGACUGGUUGGAAGGACAUGCACUUGUGCAGUAUCUCCAGCACUGAAGAAGAGGCUGAGGGAAAUGGUCACUGGGUUCUGCAAAACCCAUCACCAAGCAAAGGCAGACCGCAAAAGCCACUGGGCUCCCUUGACAGCAUUUCAGGAAAGCCUAACCUCUUGCAACCAGUGAGCAUUAGAGUGGAGGACCAGCUCAGAUGUGAAGUGUAUGAGUAGCAGAGUUUUAGAGAAAGUGCAAUUCUCAGCCCCAGUAGGUUUCCUGUGUCAAGGGUAGGGUCCUGAAAGAAAAAGGGUAGGAUCCUGACACUUGAGAUAGGGACAUCUGGGUAGAUGCAACUAAGAAUCCUGAAUCCCGAUUCCUCUGAACCUUCUCUCAAAUCAUUUUGAUUUUCCUUUGUCUCUAGUGUUCUGAAGUAGUGUGGGUUUAUUUUUUUCCUUGCUAUUUAGCAUGUAGCGGGUCUUUCAGGUUAGAAGUAAAAUUCUCGGGCAGCCCCGGUGGCUCAGUGGUUUAGCGCCACCUUCAGCCCAGGGCCUGA